UGGGGAAUUUUGGACAAUGGGCGAAAGCCUGAUCCAGCAAUGCCGCGUGUGUGAAGAAGGCCUUCGGGUUGUAAAGCACUUUUGUCCGGAAAGAAAUCCUUGGCUCUAAUACAGUCGGGGGAUGACGGUACCGGAAGAAUAAGCACCGGCUAACUACGUGCCAGCAGCCGCGGUAAUACGUAGGGUGCAAGCGUUAAUCGGAAUUACUGGGCGUAAAGCGUGCGCAGGCGGUUUGCUAAGACCGAUGUGAAAUCCCCGGGCUCAACCUGGGAACUGCAUUGGUGACUGGCAGGCUAGAGUAUGGCAGAGGGGGGUAGAAUUCCACGUGUAGCAGUGAAAUGCGUAGAGAUGUGGAGGAAUACCGAUGGCGAAGGCAGCCCCCUGGGCCAAUACUGACGCUCAUGCACGAAAGCGUGGGGGAGCAAACAGGAUUAGAUACCCUGGUAGUCCACGCCCUAAACGAUGUCAACUAGUUGUUGGGGAUUCAUUUCCUUAGUAACGUAGCUAACGCGUGAAGUUGACCGCCUGGGGAGUACGGUCGCAAGAUUAAAACUCAAAGGAAUUGACGGGGU
RNAcentral lists this ribosomal RNA (572 nucleotides) under uncultured bacterium. RNAcentral describes it as "partial 16S ribosomal RNA". It matches the Rfam family "Bacterial small subunit ribosomal RNA", at positions 355 to 919 of the family's 1533-position model. The record is from RNAcentral.